GAUGAACGCUGGCGGCGUGCCUAAUACAUGCAAGUCGAGCGAACAGACGAGGAGCUUGCUCCUCUGACGUUAGCGGCGGACGGGUGAGUAACACGUGGAUAACCUACCUAUAAGACUGGGAUAACUUCGGGAAACCGGAGCUAAUACCGGAUAAUAUUUUGAACCGCAUGGUUCAAUAGUGAAAGACGGCUUUGCUGUCACUUAUAGAUGGAUCCGCGCCGCAUUAGCUAGUUGGUAAGGUAACGGCUUACCAAGGCAACGAUGCGUAGCCGACCUGAGAGGGUGAUCGGCCACACUGGAACUGAGACACGGUCCAGACUCCUACGGGAGGCAGCAGUAGGGAAUCUUCCGCAAUGGGCGAAAGCCUGACGGAGCAACGCCGCGUGAGUGAUGAAGGUCUUCGGAUCGUAAAACUCUGUUAUUAGGGAAGAACAAAUGUGUAAGUAACUAUGCACGUCUUGACGGUACCUAAUCAGAAAGCCACGGCUAACUACGUG
This 497-nucleotide ribosomal RNA is filed under the name uncultured bacterium. RNAcentral's name for it is "partial 16S ribosomal RNA". It matches the Rfam family "Bacterial small subunit ribosomal RNA", at positions 28 to 507 of the family's 1533-position model. The record is from RNAcentral.